UACGAAGGGUGCUAGCGUUGUUCGGAAUUACUGGGCGUAAAGCGCACGUAGGCGGAGUUGUUAGUCAGGGGUGAAAUCCCGGGGCUCAACCUCGGAACUGCCUUUGAGACUGCAAGUCUCGAGUCCGGAAGAGGUGGGCGGAAUUCCUAGUGUAGCGGUGAAAUUCGUAGAUAUUAGGAAGAACAACAGUGGCGAAGGCGGCCCACUGGUCCAGUACUGACGCUGAGGUGCGAAAGCGUAGGGAGCAAACAGG
RNAcentral lists this ribosomal RNA (253 nucleotides) under uncultured bacterium. RNAcentral describes it as "partial 16S ribosomal RNA". It matches the Rfam family "Bacterial small subunit ribosomal RNA", at positions 524 to 776 of the family's 1533-position model. The record is from RNAcentral.